CCUACGGGGGGCAGCAGUAGGGAAUCUUCCACAAUGGGCGGAAGCCUGAGGGAGCAACGCCGCGUGGGUGAAGAAGGUCUUCGGAUCGUAAAACCCUGUUGUUAGAGAAGAAAGUGCGUGAGAGUAACUGUUCACGUUUCGACGGUAUCUAACCAGAAAGCCACGGCUAACUACGUGCCAGCAGCCGCGGUAAUACGUAGGUGGCAAGCGUUAUCCGGAUUUAUUGGGCGUAAAGGGAACGCAGGCGGUCUUUUAAGUCUGAUGUGAAAGGUCGGGGCCCAACCCCGGGACUGCAUUGGAAACUG
RNAcentral lists this ribosomal RNA (305 nucleotides) under uncultured bacterium. Its description in RNAcentral is "bacterial SSU rRNA". It matches the Rfam family "Bacterial small subunit ribosomal RNA", at positions 338 to 635 of the family's 1533-position model. The record is from RNAcentral.